GACGAACGCUGGCGGCGUGCUUAACACAUGCAAGUCGAACGGAAAGGCCCUGCUUUUGUGGGGUGCUCGAGUGGCGAACGGGUGAGUAACACGUGAGUAACCUGCCCUUGACUUUGGGAUAACUUCAGGAAACUGGGGCUAAUACCGGAUAGGAGCUCCUGCUGCAUGGUGGGGGUUGGAAAGUUUCGGCGGUUGGGGAUGGACUCGCGGCUUAUCAGCUUGUUGGUGGGGUAGUGGCUUACCAAGGCUUUGACGGGUCGCCGGCCUGAGAGGGUGACCGGCCACAUUGGGCCUGAGAUACGGCCCAGACUCCUACGGGAGGCAGCAGUGGGGAAUAUUGCACAAUGGGCGGAAGCCGGAUGCAGCAACGCCGCGUGCGGGAUGACGGCCUUCGGGUUGUAAACCGCUUUCGCCUGUGACGAAGCGUGAGUGACGGUAAUGGGUAAAGAAGCACCGGCUAACUACGUG
This 468-nucleotide ribosomal RNA is filed under the name uncultured bacterium. RNAcentral describes it as "partial 16S ribosomal RNA". It matches the Rfam family "Bacterial small subunit ribosomal RNA", at positions 28 to 507 of the family's 1533-position model. The record is from RNAcentral.